GUUAUCGUUUAUUUGAUAGUACCAUACUACUUGGAUAACCGUGGUAAUUCUAGAGCUAAUACAUGCCAAAAAUCCCGACUCCGGAAGGGAUGUAUUUAUUAGAUAAAAAGCCAACGCCCCUCGGGGCUCCGUGGUGAUUCAUGAUAACUUUACGAACCGCAUGGCCUUGCGCCGGCGGUGGUUCAUUCAAAUUUCUGCCCUAUCAACUUUCGAUUGUUGGGUAUUGGCCAACAAUGGUUUCGACGGGUGACGGAGAAUAAGGGUUCGAUUCCGGAGAGGGAGCCUGAGAAACGGCUACCACAUCCAAGGAAGGCAGCAGGCGCGCAAAUUACCCAAUCCCGACACGGGGAGGUAGUGACAAUACAUACUGAUACAGGGCUCUUUUGGGUCUUGUAAUUGGAAUGAGUACAAUUUAAAUACCUUAACGAGGAACAAUUGGAGGGCAAGUCUGGUGCCAGCAGCCGCGGUAAUUCCAGCUCCAAUAGCGUAUAUUAAAGUUGUUGCAGUUAAAAAGCUCGUAGUUGAACCUUGGCCCUGGCUGGCCGGUCCGCCUCACCGCGUGUACUGGUCCGGCCGGGGCUUUCCUCCCGGGGAUCCGCAUGGCCUUCGCUGGUCGUGCCGGGGAUCCGGGGCUUUUACUUUGAAAAAAUUAGAGUGUUCAAAGCAGGCAUCCGCUCGAAUACAUUAGCAUGGAAUAAUGGAAUAGG
RNAcentral lists this ribosomal RNA (707 nucleotides) under Lecanactis epileuca. RNAcentral's name for it is "SSU rRNA". It matches the Rfam family "Eukaryotic small subunit ribosomal RNA", at positions 109 to 826 of the family's 1831-position model. The record is from RNAcentral. Lineage: Eukaryota; Fungi; Ascomycota; Arthoniomycetes; Arthoniales; Roccellaceae.